RNAcentral lists this ribosomal RNA (445 nucleotides) under uncultured bacterium. RNAcentral's name for it is "partial 16S ribosomal RNA". It matches the Rfam family "Bacterial small subunit ribosomal RNA", at positions 354 to 796 of the family's 1533-position model. The record is from RNAcentral.
GUGAGGAAUAUUGGUCAAUGGGCGAAAGCCUGAACCAGCCAUGUCGCGUGAAGGAUGAAGGUCCUAUGGAUUGUAAACUUCUUUUGCAGGAGGGUAAAGUGAGCUACGUGUAGUUCAUUGCAAGUACCCUGCGAAUAAGCAUCGGCUAACUCCGUGCCAGCAGCCGCGGUAAUACGGAGAAUGCGAGCGUUAUCCGGAUUUAUUGGGUUUAAAGGGUGCGUAGGCGGACUAAUUAGUCAGCGGUGAAAUUUUGCGGCUCAACCGUAAAACUGCCGUUGAAACUGUUAGUCUUGAGUGCGGUAGAGGUAGGCGGAAUGUGUGGUGUAGCGGUGAAAUGCUUAGAUAUCACACAGAACACCGAUUGCGUAGGCAGCUUACUGGAGCGCAACUGACGCUGAGGCACGAAAGCGUGGGGAUCGAACAGGAUUAGAAACCCUGGUAGUCC